RNAcentral lists this ribosomal RNA (1425 nucleotides) under Lacticaseibacillus rhamnosus. RNAcentral's name for it is "bacterial SSU rRNA". It matches the Rfam family "Bacterial small subunit ribosomal RNA". Lineage: Bacteria; Bacillati; Bacillota; Bacilli; Lactobacillales; Lactobacillaceae. The record is from RNAcentral.
UGCAAGUCGAACGAGUUCUGAUUAUUGAAAGGUGCUUGCAUCUUGAUUUAAUUUUGAACGAGUGGCGGACGGGUGAGUAACACGUGGGUAACCUGCCCUUAAGUGGGGGAUAACAUUUGGAAACAGAUGCUAAUACCGCAUAAAUCCAAGAACCGCAUGGUUCUUGGCUGAAAGAUGGCGUAAGCUAUCGCUUUUGGAUGGACCCGCGGCGUAUUAGCUAGUUGGUGAGGUAACGGCUCACCAAGGCAAUGAUACGUAGCCGAACUGAGAGGUUGAUCGGCCACAUUGGGACUGAGACACGGCCCAAACUCCUACGGGAGGCAGCAGUAGGGAAUCUUCCACAAUGGACGCAAGUCUGAUGGAGCAACGCCGCGUGAGUGAAGAAGGCUUUCGGGUCGUAAAACUCUGUUGUUGGAGAAGAAUGGUCGGCAGAGUAACUGUUGUCGGCGUGACGGUAUCCAACCAGAAAGCCACGGCUAACUACGUGCCAGCAGCCGCGGUAAUACGUAGGUGGCAAGCGUUAUCCGGAUUUAUUGGGCGUAAAGCGAGCGCAGGCGGUUUUUUAAGUCUGAUGUGAAAGCCCUCGGCUUAACCGAGGAAGUGCAUCGGAAACUGGGAAACUUGAGUGCAGAAGAGGACAGUGGAACUCCAUGUGUAGCGGUGAAAUGCGUAGAUAUAUGGAAGAACACCAGUGGCGAAGGCGGCUGUCUGGUCUGUAACUGACGCUGAGGCUCGAAAGCAUGGGUAGCGAACAGGAUUAGAUACCCUGGUAGUCCAUGCCGUAAACGAUGAAUGCUAGGUGUUGGAGGGUUUCCGCCCUUCAGUGCCGCAGCUAACGCAUUAAGCAUUCCGCCUGGGGAGUACGACCGCAAGGUUGAAACUCAAAGGAAUUGACGGGGGCCCGCACAAGCGGUGGAGCAUGUGGUUUAAUUCGAAGCAACGCGAAGAACCUUACCAGGUCUUGACAUCUUUUGAUCACCUGAGAGAUCAGGUUUCCCCUUCGGGGGCAAAAUGACAGGUGGUGCAUGGUUGUCGUCAGCUCGUGUCGUGAGAUGUUGGGUUAAGUCCCGCAACGAGCGCAACCCUUAUGACUAGUUGCCAGCAUUUAGUUGGGCACUCUAGUAAGACUGCCGGUGACAAACCGGAGGAAGGUGGGGAUGACGUCAAAUCAUCAUGCCCCUUAUGACCUGGGCUACACACGUGCUACAAUGGAUGGUACAACGAGUUGCGAGACCGCGAGGUCAAGCUAAUCUCUUAAAGCCAUUCUCAGUUCGGACUGUAGGCUGCAACUCGCCUACACGAAGUCGGAAUCGCUAGUAAUCGCGGAUCAGCACGCCGCGGUGAAUACGUUCCCGGGCCUUGUACACACCGCCCGUCACACCAUGAGAGUUUGUAACACCCGAAGCCGGUGGCGUAACCCUUUUA